GCGGCAGCUCGGCCAGGCGGCGGCUCGGGCGGGCGCGUGCGGCUCGCUGGCCGCCGAGGCUCUCCUCCUCCUCCGCCCUCCCGACCCUAGCAGUUCAUUGGUCUUUCCCGCGGCCAGCAUCACUUGCACAAAUUGCAGCAUCCCGACGGCAAGAUGACGGGCCUGAGGAGAGGAGGCUCAGCACAUACAGCAACUUUAUGGGGAAUUAUACCGAGGAUUAAGCCCAGAGAGAGAGAGAGAGAGAGAGAGAGAGAGAGAGAGAGAGAGAGAGAGAGAGAGAGAGAGAAAGAAAGAAAGAAAGAAAGAGAGAGAGAGAGAGAGAGAG
This is a long non-coding RNA of Penaeus chinensis, 325 nucleotides long. RefSeq lists it as uncharacterized. The transcript is spliced from 3 exons. NCBI's taxonomy places the organism in Eukaryota, Metazoa, Arthropoda, Malacostraca, Decapoda, Penaeidae. The record is from RefSeq and is a predicted model, not a curated record.